Molecule: ribosomal RNA, 253 nt
Filed under: uncultured bacterium
Lineage: Bacteria
Description: partial 16S ribosomal RNA
Rfam family: Bacterial small subunit ribosomal RNA
Source: RNAcentral
UACGUAGGAUCCGAGCGUUGUCCGGAAUUACUGGGUGUAAAGGGCGUGUAGGUGGAUCUCUAAGUCGGUGGUGAAAUCCUGCAGCUUAACUGCAGAACUGCCGUCGAUACUGGAGGUCUUGAGUGCGGCAGAGGGAGACGGAAUUCAUGGUGUAGCGGUGAAAUGUGUAGAUAUCAUGAAGAACACCGGUUGCGAAGGCGGUCUCCUGGCCCGUUACUGACACUGAGACGCGAAAGCGUGGGGAGCAAACAGG